UACGAAGGGGGCUAGCGUUGCUCGGAAUGACGGGGCGUAAAGGGCGCGUAGGCGGUUUGUACAGUCAGAUGUGAAAUUCCUGGGCUUAACCUGGGGGCUGCAUUUGAUACGUGCAGACUUGAGUGAGGAAGAGGGUUGUGGAAUUCCCAGUGUAGAGGUGAAAUUCGUAGAUAUUGGGAAGAACACCGGUGGCGAAGGCGGCAACCUGGUCCUUGACUGACGCUGAGGCGCGAAAGCGUGGGGAGCAAACAGG
RNAcentral lists this ribosomal RNA (253 nucleotides) under uncultured bacterium. Its description in RNAcentral is "partial 16S ribosomal RNA". It matches the Rfam family "Bacterial small subunit ribosomal RNA", at positions 524 to 776 of the family's 1533-position model. The record is from RNAcentral.